AGAAUCAACGCUGGCGGCGCGCCUAACACAUGCAAGUCGAACGAGAAAGUGGAGCAAUCCAUGAGUACAGUGGCGUACGGGUGAGUAACACGUGGGUAAUCUACCUUUUAGUGAGGAAUAACCAAGGGAAACUUUGGCUAAUACCGCAUAAGCCUGAGAAGGGAAAGCAGCAAUGCGCUGAAAGAGGAGCCCGCGGCCGAUUAGCUAGUUGGUGGGGUAAGAGCCUACCAAGGCAGAGAUCGGUAGCCGGCCUGAGAGGGGCACGACGGACCGACGACCUAGGCGACUGAAACACGGGCCAGACUCCUACGGGAGGCAGCAGUGGGGAAUCUUGCACAAUGGGGGAAACCCUGAUGCAGCGACGCCGCGUGAGCGAUGAAGCCCUUCGGGGUGUAAAGCUCUUUCGUCAGGGAAGAUAGUGACGGUACCUGGAGAAGCAGCUGCGGCUAACGUACGUGCCAGCAGCCGC
RNAcentral lists this ribosomal RNA (469 nucleotides) under uncultured bacterium. RNAcentral's name for it is "SSU rRNA". It matches the Rfam family "Bacterial small subunit ribosomal RNA", at positions 26 to 518 of the family's 1533-position model. The record is from RNAcentral.